CUGCUUUCGCACCCAUCGCUUGUCCUAAUCUAUGGGACCAUCAGGUGCGGCAUGUGCUACCUAUGAUCGACAAACCUCAUUAGACUCACCGAUUCGCUUUCACUAUUCAUAGGGUGGACCCCUCAUGCGUGCGUUCACACUUUGAGUUUCCUUAACUGCCCCCGGGCGUGUUCGCCACCUCGUACACCAAAUUAAGCUACUAUGCGCUCCUUGGAAUGGUUCCGAAUUUACCCUCUGCUGCAUAAACCUUUGUCUAUAAAGAAGCCUGCAGAAAGUUCCACGACGUACCAACAGCAGUCGAGCACGGCACUCCACAGUCCAAUUCAGGAUAUUGCUCGCGUUGGGGACAACAAUCAACGGUCGCUCAGUUCAGCCCUUGAGAUUGUUCUGACGGUCACAUUUGACACUCCUUCCACCCCUACUGCAGUUUAGUAGUGCCGGGAAUGCGGAACCCGAUGUGUGCACGAUGUUACCGGCCAUGUCUCUCGUCGGUGACGCACUCGUCCUCGCUUAGAUGUUUUGGCCAGAGUCAAGCCUAGCCUCAGACGUUGAGCUGAGGCACUUCGACCUUAGCGAUCAUUAGCCUAUAGUCGGUACUAGGCCACUUAUGCAAGGGCCCGGAACAUGUGUGGCGGGCAGUUCGGUACCUUCGACCCCCACGGACUUCAGCCACUGGCGUUCCUCGACGGAUCCCAUUUUGAUCAUUGACCCCGAUUCAGCAUUGUUCCAUCGGCAUUUCCCGCUUAAGACGUCUAUAGGUAGUG
This 764-nucleotide ribosomal RNA is filed under the name uncultured bacterium. RNAcentral describes it as "partial 16S ribosomal RNA". The record is from RNAcentral.